RNAcentral lists this ribosomal RNA (253 nucleotides) under uncultured bacterium. Its description in RNAcentral is "partial 16S ribosomal RNA". It matches the Rfam family "Bacterial small subunit ribosomal RNA", at positions 524 to 776 of the family's 1533-position model. The record is from RNAcentral.
UACGUAGGGCGCAAGCGUUAUCCGGAAUUAUUGGGCGUAAAGCGUGCGCAGGCGGUUCGUUGUGUCGGCGGUGAAAGCCCCGGGCUCAACCUGGGAAUGGCCGUUGAAACUGGCGAACUGGAGUGUGGCAGAGGGGGGUGGAAUUCCGCGUGUAGCAGUGAAAUGCGUAGAGAUGCGGAGGAACACCGAUGGCGAAGGCAGCCCCCUGGGCUGACACUGACGCUCAGGCACGAAAGCGUGGGGAGCAAACAGG